UGCAAGUCGUACGCUUCUUUUUCCACCGGAGCUUGCUCCACCGGAAAAAGAAGAGUGGCGAACGGGUGAGUAACACGUGGGUAACCUGCCCAUCAGAAGGGGAUAACACUUGGAAACAGGUGCUAAUACCGUAUAACAAUCGAAACCGCAUGGUUUUGAUUUGAAAGGCGCUUUCGGGUGUCGCUGAUGGAUGGACCCGCGGUGCAUUAGCUAGUUGGUGAGGUAACGGCUCACCAAGGCCACGAUGCAUAGCCGACCUGAGAGGGUGAUCGGCCACAUUGGGACUGAGACACGGCCCAAACUCCUACGGGAGGCAGCAGUAGGGAAUCUUCGGCAAUGGACGAAAGUCUGACCGAGCAACGCCGCGUGAGUGAAGAAGGUUUUCGGAUCGUAAAAUCUCUGUUGUUAGAGAAGAACAAGGAUGAGAGUAACUGUUCAUCCCUUGACGGUAUCUAACCAGAAAGCCACGGCUAACUACGUGCCCAGCAGCCGCGGUAAUACGUAGGUGGCAAGCGUUGUCCGGAUUUAUUGGGCGUAAAGCGAGCGCAGGCGGUUUCUUAAGUCUGAUGUGAAAGCCCCCGGCUCAACCGGGGAGGGUCAUUGGAAACUGGGAGACUUGAGUGCAGAAGAGGAGAGUGGAAUUCCAUGUGUAGCGGUGAAAUGCGUAGAUAUAUGGAGGAACACCAGUGGCGAAGGCGGCUCUCUGGUCUGUAACUGACGCUGAGGCUCGAAAGCGUGGGGAGCAAACAGGAUUAGAUACCCUGGUAGUCCACGCCGUAAACGAUGAGUGCUAAGUGUUGGAGGGUUUCCGCCCUUCAGUGCUGCAGCUAACGCAUUAAGCACUCCGCCUGGGGAGUACGACCGCAAGGUUGAAAACUCAAAGGAAUUGACGGGGGCCCGCACAAGCGGUGGAGCAUGUGGUUUAAUUCGAAGCAACGCGAAGAACCUUACCAGGUCUUGACAUCCUUUGACCACUCUAGAAGAUAGAGCUUCCCCUUCGGGGGGCAAAGUGACAGGUGGUGCAUGGUUGUCGUCAGCUCGUGUCGUGAGAUGUUGGGUUAAGCCCCGCAACGAGCGCAACCCUUAUUGUUAGUUGCCAUCAUUCGUUGGGCACUCUAGCAAGACUGCCGGUGACAAACCGGAGGAAGGUGGGGAUGACGUCAAAUCAUCAUGCCCCUUAUGACCUGGGCUACACACGUGCUACAAUGGGAAGUACAACGAGUCGCGAAGUCGCGAGGCUAAGCUAAUCUCUUAAAGCUUCUCUCAGUUCGGAUUGUAGGCUGCAACUCGCCUACAUGAAGCCGGAAUCGCUAGUAAUCGCGGAUCAGCACGCCGCGGUGAAUACGUUCCCGGGCCUUGUACACACCGCCCGUAACGGCACGAGAGUUUGUAACACCCGAAGUCGGUGAGGUAACCUUUGGGAGCC
RNAcentral lists this ribosomal RNA (1426 nucleotides) under Enterococcus durans. Its description in RNAcentral is "bacterial SSU rRNA". It matches the Rfam family "Bacterial small subunit ribosomal RNA". The record is from RNAcentral. Lineage: Bacteria; Bacillati; Bacillota; Bacilli; Lactobacillales; Enterococcaceae.